Long non-coding RNA from Oxyura jamaicensis (ruddy duck), 1444 nucleotides. RefSeq lists it as uncharacterized. The transcript is spliced from 2 exons. The record is from RefSeq and is a predicted model, not a curated record. Lineage: Eukaryota; Metazoa; Chordata; Aves; Anseriformes; Anatidae.
AACCGCGGCGAAUGUUCCCCGAGAUGCCCGAAGCGGCACCCGGUACGCGGAGCGCGGUGAUUGAACCGCGGAAACAUUCGGCCGUAUCAGUUACGGCGCGUUUUCGGCUCGCGGAAAGAAGCAGAAGAGUAGCGGGGAGGUCAGUGAAUGGUUUGAGAAGACGCAGAUCCGGUGUAAGCCAAAGUUCUGCGCGAGCCAGGGAACAUGAUUAUACCGCAGUUUCAGUUUGUGCUGCAGAUGGCUUUUUAAUCUGAUUACAUAACCCGGUAUUAGAGAGUAAGGGCAGGUCCCGCUGACGCUCCCAACAGUUGUAAUUGAAUGAAGGAUACAGUAACUGAAGUUAGGCUGAGCUUAAAGUAACAGGCAACAGUUACACAAAAGGCAUGUUUCAGUGAUUACCGGGAGGAAUUGGAUAAGGGCUGGAAAAAAUACCAAACCCUCUUUUGUUAUCAACCAGGCUGAAGACUAAACGAAGCAUCUGGGUUUAAUUCCACAUUCUGCCACUGUAUAAUCUCAGAGAACAGACGUUUAACUCACUUGUAAGGUUUCUCGUGAUUUGACCAUUUCAAACAUCGUAAUGAUGUUAACAUUAAAACAAAACAAAGAAAAGGAAAAAAAAACCACAACAGUGGGAGGAUGUACCUAAAGAAGGACAUAGGAAGCACAUGCUGGGAAAACGGGGCCAAGGAUUACCUGUGUAUCCUGUGAUCAUUUCCAUGACCCAUGACAGCACUAUUUGCCAGCAAUAACAGAGAGGAGAAAAUGAUUUUACCAUGGCAACAUCUACAUUAGCAACAGCACAAUAAGAAUAUAUCUGGAGAAUGAAACUCACAUACACUUGGGAGGCUUUACUUCAGACUACUUUAUUCCCCCAAGCCAGAUGUCAAUGACGUGUGUUCCUGCAACACAUCUUUCACUGUGGUUUCAUCCAAAAGUUAUCUCCAUUUGCUUGUGCUCAUACUCCUCUGAAAUAGAAGGAAAAACAUGGUAAGUAAAAUCCCAUUGGGAGACUCCCAUUAACAGAGUAUUCUUGUCCUGAACUAAUAAAUUAAUUCAUGGAGACGGACUCACAGCUGCGCUCCCUGGGUCAAAAAUGAAACCUAGUGUGACUUUCAUACCAGCAUGUACUUUGUGUGACCAAAACGUGAGACCCAUUUAAGUUCCUCUACUACCUGGACACAACAUCCAUGCAUAUGAGCAUUACAGUUCUUAGGAAUCACGCUGGUUGCAGCCAAAUCCACUUCACUUUUGGCCAUGGGAAACAGAAGAAUACAGAUUCCCCCAUUCUCUUGUGGCCUGUGGUACACCGCUUUGUCAACUUACCAUUUUCUUUUUCUUUCGUAAAAGAUUUAAGAACAGCAAUUACAUAGGAAAUAGCUUUUGCUGUCAGGUUCACUUUGCUUUCAGGUUUUUAGUUCUCAUGACUGCAGAAGAAAAUAAUCCC